UGUACUGUACGUGACACAAGCCU
RNAcentral lists this non-coding RNA (23 nucleotides) under Cricetulus griseus (Chinese hamster). The record is from RNAcentral. Lineage: Eukaryota; Metazoa; Chordata; Mammalia; Rodentia; Cricetidae.